GAGGGUAGAGCUCAGUGGUAGAGUGCCAGCUUAGCAUGCAUGAGGUCCUGGGUUCAAUUCCAGCACCUCCA
Molecule: transfer RNA, 71 nt
Filed under: Camelus dromedarius (Arabian camel)
Lineage: Eukaryota; Metazoa; Chordata; Mammalia; Artiodactyla; Camelidae
Also listed under: 1 other name
Rfam family: tRNA
About the family: Transfer RNA (tRNA) molecules are approximately 80 nucleotides in length. Their secondary structure includes four short double-helical elements and three loops (D, anti-codon, and T loops). Further hydrogen bonds mediate the characteristic L-shaped molecular structure. tRNAs have two regions of fundamental functional importance: the anti-codon, which is responsible for specific mRNA codon recognition, and the 3' end, to which the tRNAs corresponding amino acid is attached (by aminoacyl-tRNA synthetases). tRNAs cope with the degeneracy of the genetic code in two manners: having more than one tRNA (with a specific anti-codon) for a particular amino acid; and 'wobble' base-pairing, i.e. permitting non-standard base-pairing at the 3rd anti-codon position.
Source: Rfam by way of RNAcentral